UACAGAGGUGGCAAGCGUUGUUCGGAAUUACUGGGCGUAAAGGGCGCGUAGGCGGCCAUCUAAGUCAGACGUGAAAUCCCCCGGCCUAACCUGGGAACUGCGUCUGAUACUGGAAGGCUUGAGUAUGGGAGAGGGAUGUAGAAUUCCAGGUGUAGCGGUGAAAUGCGUAGAUAUCUGGAGGAAUACCGGUGGCGAAGGCGGCAUCCUGGACCAUUACUGACGCUGAGGCGCGAAAGCUAGGGGAGCAAACGGG
This 253-nucleotide ribosomal RNA is filed under the name uncultured bacterium. RNAcentral describes it as "partial 16S ribosomal RNA". It matches the Rfam family "Bacterial small subunit ribosomal RNA", at positions 524 to 776 of the family's 1533-position model. The record is from RNAcentral.